This 253-nucleotide ribosomal RNA is filed under the name uncultured bacterium. RNAcentral's name for it is "partial 16S ribosomal RNA". It matches the Rfam family "Bacterial small subunit ribosomal RNA", at positions 524 to 776 of the family's 1533-position model. The record is from RNAcentral.
UACGGAGGGGACUAGCGUUGUUCGGAAUUACUGGGCGUAAAGCGCACGUAGGCGGAUUUGUAAGUCAGGGGUGAAAUCCCGGGGCUCAACCUCGGAACUGCCUUUGAUACUGCAAAUCUCGAGUCCGGAAGAGGUGAGUGGAAUUCCUAGUGUAGAGGUGAAAUUCGUAGAUAUCAGGAAGAACACCCGUGGCGAAGGCGGCUCUCUGGGACGGUACUGACGCUGAGACGCGAAAGCGUGGGGAGCAAACAGG